Molecule: ribosomal RNA, 446 nt
Filed under: uncultured bacterium
Lineage: Bacteria
Description: partial 16S ribosomal RNA
Rfam family: Bacterial small subunit ribosomal RNA
Source: RNAcentral
CCUACGGGCGGCAGCAGUCGAGAAUCAUUCACAAUGGGGGAAACCCUGAUGGUGCGACGCCGCGUGGGGGAAUGAAGGUCUUCGGAUUGUAAACCCCUGUCAUGUGGGAGCAAAUUAAAAAGAUCGUACCACAAGAGGAAGAGACGGCUAACUCUGUGCCAGCAGCCGCGGUAAUACAGAGGUCUCAAGCGUUGUUCGGAAUCACUGGGCGUAAAGCGUGCGUAGGCUGUUUCGUAAGUCGUGUGUGAAAGGCGCGGGCUCAACCCGCGGACGGCACAUGAUACUGCGAGACUAGAGUAAGGGAGGGGGAACCGGAAUUCUCGGUGUAGCAGUGAAAUGCGUAGAUAUCGAGAGGAACACUCGUGGCGAAGGCGGGUUCCUGGACAUUAACUGACGCUGAGGCACGAAGGCCAGGGGAGCGAAAGGGAUUAGAUACCCCAGUAGUC